This 292-nucleotide ribosomal RNA is filed under the name uncultured bacterium. Its description in RNAcentral is "partial 16S ribosomal RNA". It matches the Rfam family "Bacterial small subunit ribosomal RNA", at positions 505 to 796 of the family's 1533-position model. The record is from RNAcentral.
GUGUCAGCCGCCGCGGUAAUACGGAGGGUGCAAGCGUUGUCCGGAUUUAUUGGGUUUAAAGGGUGCGUAGGUGGUGUCUUAAGUCUGGUUUGAAAGCAGGCGGCUUAACCGUCUGAUGUGGCUGGAAACUGGGGCACUUGAAUUGGUUGGCGGUCGCCGGAACGGGUCAUGUAGCGGUGAAAUGCAUAGAUAUGACCCAGAACCCCGAUUGCGAAGGCAGGCGACUAGGACCAGAUUGACACUGAGGCACGAGAGCAUGGGGAGCGAACAGGAUUAGAUACCCUUGUAGUCC